RNAcentral lists this long non-coding RNA (680 nucleotides) under Olea europaea (common olive). RNAcentral describes it as "long non-coding RNA (OEUR_LNC008394)". Lineage: Eukaryota; Viridiplantae; Streptophyta; Magnoliopsida; Lamiales; Oleaceae. The record is from RNAcentral.
CCAAUAAUCAUUAUUAAUUGACUCCAAAACGUAACAAUAUCCAUACAAAAUCGAGAUCCAGAAUUCUAAAGUAUAUAAAAAUUCAAUAUAUUUCCCAAAAAAAUAAUAAUAAAAUAAAAUUAUAUAUAUAGUAGGGAUGUCGACGAGUUGAGCCGAAGCACCUUGUGAGCCGAAACUCUCGACUCAAGUAAAAUGUCCGAGCUUUUUUUGGAGCUUGAGCGGGAAAAGCUCGACCAAAAAAAUUAGACUCGACCCGAACUUUCAACUCGAGUCAGCAGCUCGAUUUUUUUUUCUUUUUUUUAAACAUAGGCAGCAGCGUGCUGCCUUAUUUCAGUAAAUAAGGCAGCAACCCGCUGCCUCAAAUGAAAUAAGGCAGCAAAACUUUCAACUCGAGUCAAAAGCUCGAUUUUUUUUUCUUUUUUUUAAACAUAGGCAGCAGCGUGCUGCCUUAUUUCAGUAAAUAAGGCAGCAACCUUAUUUGAGGCAGCAGGUUGUUGCCUUUAAUUAAUUUUUAUUAUUAUUAUAUAUAAAGGCCGAUUCGGGCUUUUUCCAGGCCGAACCACAUGUAGUUCGAGCCAGCGAGCUCCAUUGCCAUCCCUACAAUGUAGUUGCUGAAUAAUAGUUCUCCCAUAUACUUGGAGACUCUUUCACCUAGGAAAAUUAAAAAAUAUAAAUUAAAU